GAUGAACGCUGGCGGCGUGCCUAAUACAUGCAAGUCGAGCGAACGGACGAGAAGCUUGCUUCUCUGAUGUUAGCGGCGGACGGGUGAGUAACACGUGGAUAACCUACCUAUAAGACUGUCAUAACUUCGGGAAACCGGAGCUAAUACCGGAUGAUAUUUUGAACCGCAUGGUUCAAAAGUGAAAGACGGUCUUGCUGUCACUUAUAGAUGGAUCCGCGCUGCAUUAGCUAGUUGGUAAGGUAACGGCUUACCAAGGCAACGAUGCAUAGCCGACCUGAGAGGGUGAUCGGCCACACUGGAACUGAGACACGGUCCAGACUCCUACGGGAGGCAGCAGUAGGGAAUCUUCCGCAAUGGGCGAAAGCCUGACGGAGCAACGCCGCGUGAGUGAUGAAGGUCUUCGGAUCGUAAAACUCUGUUAUUAGGGAAGAACAUAUGUGUAAGUAACUGUGCACAUCUUGACGGUACCUAAUCAGAAAGCCACGGCUAACUACGUG
Molecule: ribosomal RNA, 497 nt
Filed under: uncultured bacterium
Lineage: Bacteria
Description: partial 16S ribosomal RNA
Rfam family: Bacterial small subunit ribosomal RNA
Source: RNAcentral